AUUGAACGCUGGCGGCAUGCUUUACACAUGCAAGUCGAACGGUAACAGGGUGCUUGCACCGCUGACGAGUGGCGAACGGGUGAGUAAUGCGUCGGAACGUGCCGAGUAGUGGGGGAUAACGCAGCGAAAGUUGUGCUAAUACCGCAUACGUACUGAGGUAGAAAGUGGGGGACCUUCGGGCCUCACGCUAUUCGAGCGGCCGACGUCGGGUUAGCUAGUAGGGGAGGUAAAGGCUCACCUAGGCGACGAUCAGUAGCGGGUCUGAGAGGAUGCUCCGCCACACUGGGACUGAGACACGGCCCAGACUCCUACGGGAGGCAGAAGUGGGGAAUUUUGGACAAUGGGCGAAAGCCUGAUCCAGCCAUGCCGCGUGUCUGAAGAAGGCCUUCGGGUUGUAAAGGACUUUUGUCAGGGAGGAAAUCCCUAGUGCUAAUAACACUGGGGGAUGACAGUACCUGAAGAAUAAGCACCGGCUAACUACGUGCCAGCCGCCGCCGUAA
This 500-nucleotide ribosomal RNA is filed under the name uncultured bacterium. Its description in RNAcentral is "partial 16S ribosomal RNA". It matches the Rfam family "Bacterial small subunit ribosomal RNA", at positions 30 to 523 of the family's 1533-position model. The record is from RNAcentral.